Molecule: non-coding RNA, 226 nt
Organism: Pelobates cultripes (western spadefoot toad)
Lineage: Eukaryota; Metazoa; Chordata; Amphibia; Anura; Pelobatidae
Source: the annotation of a GenBank genome assembly
AACUAAACGGCGGUUUUGACCAUUUAAUGCUGAGGGUGCCGUUACAGCAGCCGUUUCUGCUUGUGAGCAUUGGUUAGUGGUGGCCGAAUAGAAGGUUUAUGCACAGUUGCAAGACUCUGGAGGACUCUUCAUCUUGAUGUCCGUGGGACUCCAGAGGCACCAGCAGCUUCAAAUAUCUGUUUGCUGCUGUGUAAUGGUAUUUUAGCAGCUGCUCUCUUGAUCCGAU